AAUCUGGUGGCCGAUAAAGGUGUGAAUCUUUUAAGUUCAUCAUAGAUAAUCUUCAGAUUA
RNAcentral lists this transfer RNA (60 nucleotides) under Pseudoniphargus gorbeanus. RNAcentral's name for it is "tRNA-Lys". The record is from RNAcentral. Lineage: Eukaryota; Metazoa; Arthropoda; Malacostraca; Amphipoda; Allocrangonyctidae.